GCUCAAAUUUGCUAGUCUUUGUCUGAAAAGUAAUCGGAUUAGUCAGGCUAGAUCAACUUUGGUUAAACUCUUGCAGUAUGACCCUGAGACAUGUCCUGAUAACGUACGAUACCAUGGACCUCCUCAAGUAAUUCUGGCAUACUUGAAAUACCAGUGGUCACUUGGAGAAGAUCACAAGAGAAAAGAAGCAUUUGCUAGGCUUCAGAAUUUGGCCAAAGAAAUUUCAAGUUCCCCAAAUAUUCAUUCAGUUGCACCAGCUGGUUUAUUGAGCAGUCCAAGUUCAAAUGUCCCCCUUCUUGCUCGUGUAUAUCUUGAACUUGGAAGCUGGCAGUGGGCACUAAGUCCCGGAUUGGAUGA
RNAcentral lists this unclassified non-coding RNA (357 nucleotides) under Hevea brasiliensis (rubber tree). The record is from RNAcentral. Lineage: Eukaryota; Viridiplantae; Streptophyta; Magnoliopsida; Malpighiales; Euphorbiaceae.